This 164-nucleotide ribosomal RNA is filed under the name uncultured bacterium. RNAcentral describes it as "partial 16S rRNA". It matches the Rfam family "Bacterial small subunit ribosomal RNA", at positions 355 to 511 of the family's 1533-position model. The record is from RNAcentral.
UAGGGAAUCUUCCGCAAUGGACGAAAGUCUGGUGGAGCAACGCCGCGUGAGUGAAGAAGGGUUUCGGCUCGUAAAACCCUGUUGUUAAAGAAGAACAUAUCUGAGAGUAACUGUUCAGGUAUUGACGGUAUUUAACCAGAAAGCCACGGCUAACUACGUGCCAG